This 732-nucleotide long non-coding RNA is filed under the name Homo sapiens (human). Its description in RNAcentral is "non-protein coding lnc-RNF112-4:1". Lineage: Eukaryota; Metazoa; Chordata; Mammalia; Primates; Hominidae. The record is from RNAcentral.
CGGGGGUUAGGUAGCUGUAGGUCUUAGAAAUGGCAUCAAAGGUGGCCUUGGUGAAGUUGCCCAGGGUGGCAGUGCAGCCCCGGGCUGAGGUGUAGCAGUCAUCGAUACCAGCCAUCAUGAGCAGCUUCUUAGGCACAGGUGCGGAGACGAUGCCAGUGCCCCUGGGGACAGUGUGGGGCUUGCCGAUCUUGUUCCCCCAGUAGCCUCUGCGCACGGGGACGAUGGAGAGCUUGGCCAGGAUGAUGGCCCCACGGAUGGCGGUGGCCACCUCCUUGGAGCACUUAACACCCAGACCGACGUGGCCGUUGUAGUCCCCGAUAGCAACAAAUGCCUUGAACCUGGUGCGCUGGCCGGCACGGGUCUGCUUCUGCACUGGCAUAAUCUUCAAAACCUCAUCCUUGAGAGAGGCCCCCAGGAAGAAAUCAAUGAUCUCUGAUUCCUUAAUUGGGCAGGGAGAAGAGAUAGAUCUCCUCCAGGGACUUGAUCUUCAUGUCCUUGACCAAGCGGCCCAACUUGGUGACGGGCAUCCACUCCUUAUCCUCGGCCUUGCCUCCGCGAGCUCCGCGGCCUUGGCCCCGGCCCCGUCCACGGCCGCGACCCUGGCCCCGGAUGCCACUGCCGAAACCUCCGCGGAAGCCACCGCGGUUCCCCAUCUCAGGGCCACCAGGGCCUCCGGGCCCCCCCGCUGCACCGGCGUCAUCCGCCAUUUGGUGUUUUGUCGGAAAAGAAGCC